The sequence is a regulatory RNA element, 129 nucleotides long. It matches the Rfam family "PyrR binding site". Rfam says of the family: This family represents the PyrR binding site and terminator structure. This RNA structure is found upstream of a variety of genes involved in pyrimidine biosynthesis and transport. The record is from Rfam.
AGAACCUUUAACACAGUCCCGUGAGGCUGAGAAGGAAAACGGAAAUGAUGACUAUGGUCAUAUUUAUGCCAUUAGUCUAUCUAUGUCUUCGUAAACCCUCUCCCAAAACGGUGAGAGGGUUUUUCGUUU